GUGGGGAAUAUUGGACAAUGGGCGAAAGCCUGAUCCAGCCAUGCCGCGUGUGUGAAGAAGGUCUUCGGAUUGUAAAGCACUUUAAGUUGGGAGGAAGGGCAGUAAGUUAAUACCUUGCUGUUUUGACGUUACCGACAGAAUAAGCACCGGCUAACUCUGUGCCAGCAGCCGCGGUAAUACAGAGGGUGCAAGCGUUAAUCGGAUUUACUGGGCGUAAAGCGCGCGUAGGUGGUUUUGUAAGUUGGAGGUGAAAUCCCCGGGCUCAACCUGGGAACUGCCUCCAAAACUGCAUGACUAGAGUACGGUAGAGGGUAGUGGAAUUUCCUGUGUAGCGGUGAAAUGCGUAGAUAUAGGAAGGAACACCAGUGGCGAAGGCGACUACCUGGACUGAUACUGACACUGAGGUGCGAAAGCGUGGGGAGCAAACAGGAUUAGAAACCCGUGUAGUCC
RNAcentral lists this ribosomal RNA (450 nucleotides) under uncultured bacterium. RNAcentral describes it as "partial 16S ribosomal RNA". It matches the Rfam family "Bacterial small subunit ribosomal RNA", at positions 354 to 796 of the family's 1533-position model. The record is from RNAcentral.